GACGAACGCUGGCGGCGUGCUUAACACAUGCAAGUCGAGCGGUAAGCCCUUUCGGGGGUACACGAGCGGCGAACGGGUGAGUAACACGUGGGUGACCUGCCCUCAGCUCUGGGAUAAGCCGUGGGAAACCGGGUCUAAUACUGGAUAUGACUCCAUGACGCAUGUUGUGGGGUGGAAAGCCUUGUGCGGCUGAGGAUGGGCCCGCGGCCUAUCAGCUUGUUGGUGGGGNGAUGGCCUACCAAGGCGACGACGGGUAGCCGGCCUGAGAGGGCGACCGGCCACA
RNAcentral lists this ribosomal RNA (283 nucleotides) under uncultured bacterium. Its description in RNAcentral is "partial 16S ribosomal RNA". It matches the Rfam family "Bacterial small subunit ribosomal RNA", at positions 28 to 312 of the family's 1533-position model. The record is from RNAcentral.